AUAUGGACAUUUUUUCCUUUUGAACCUUUAAUUUGGAACUUUCACUCAUAAACUAUCAAAAUCAAUACUCCAAAUUAAAGGUUUAGGGGGAAAUGUCCUCUU
RNAcentral lists this microRNA precursor (102 nucleotides) under Corchorus capsularis. RNAcentral describes it as "pre miRNA mir-395". Lineage: Eukaryota; Viridiplantae; Streptophyta; Magnoliopsida; Malvales; Malvaceae. The record is from RNAcentral.